GGUGGCAGCAGUAGGGAAUCUUCCACAAUGGACGCAAGUCUGAUGGAGCAACGCCGCGUGAGUGAAGAAGGGUUUCGGCUCGUAAAGCUCUGUUGUUAAAGAAGAACGUGGGUAAGAGUAACUGUUUACCCAGGACGGUAUAACC
RNAcentral lists this ribosomal RNA (145 nucleotides) under Pediococcus pentosaceus. Its description in RNAcentral is "partial 16S ribosomal RNA". It matches the Rfam family "Bacterial small subunit ribosomal RNA", at positions 344 to 484 of the family's 1533-position model. Lineage: Bacteria; Bacillati; Bacillota; Bacilli; Lactobacillales; Lactobacillaceae. The record is from RNAcentral.